Molecule: ribosomal RNA, 354 nt
Filed under: Triticum aestivum (bread wheat)
Lineage: Eukaryota; Viridiplantae; Streptophyta; Magnoliopsida; Poales; Poaceae
Description: partial small subunit ribosomal RNA
Source: RNAcentral
AUGCUUGUAGAUCAUGAAAAGAAUGCUUUAGGUGCUGGUUAUAUUGUUAAAUUCAUUCAUGAUGCUACUAAAAAUUAUUAUGAGGGAGGAAUAUAUUCUUGUAGGAGUUGCAAUAAUAUCAAGUUUCCUCUCUAUGUGCUUAAAGUUUUGAAGUUAUGUGUGUUUUACCUUCCUAUGCAAGUUGAUUAUUGCUCCCAUAAGUUGUUUGCUCACAAAAUCCCUAUGCAUAGGAAGUAUGUUAGACUUAAAUGUGCUAGUCGUAUUCUUAAUGAUGCUCUCUUUAUGUUUCGAUUCUUAUCUUUUAUACGAGCAUCAUUGAAAUCAUCAUGCCUAGCUAGGGGCAUUAAACGAUAG